AGAACGAACGCUGGCGGCAUGCCUAAUACAUGCAAGUCGAACGAAGGCUUCGGCCUUAGUGGCGCACGGGUGCGUAACGCGUGGGAAUCUGCCCCUUGGUUCGGAAUAACAGUUGGAAACGACUGCUAAUACCGGAUGAUGACGAAAGUCCAAAGAUUUAUCGCCAAGGGAUGAGCCCGCGUAGGAUUAGCUAGUUGGUGAGGUAAAGGCU
Molecule: ribosomal RNA, 211 nt
Filed under: uncultured soil bacterium
Lineage: Bacteria
Description: partial 16S ribosomal RNA
Rfam family: Bacterial small subunit ribosomal RNA
Source: RNAcentral